Dreissena polymorpha is the source of this 1963-nucleotide long non-coding RNA. RefSeq lists it as uncharacterized. Lineage: Eukaryota; Metazoa; Mollusca; Bivalvia; Myida; Dreissenidae. The transcript has 2 exons. The record is from RefSeq and is a predicted model, not a curated record.
UAUUCUCCGGAAUUGGAGGUUCUCAAUCGCUGGCAUUCGGUACCCCUCGCAGAUUAUCAUAAUACUUAUCCGAUGUUUGACGGAAAGGGCCGAGAAUGUGCGAUUGAAUCGCUGGGUAGUAUUGAUUUCCAGUAACAAUGGCGUCGAAUGAGAAAGAAAACGAUCGUUAUCUGUCUGACAUCGAAAUUGACAAAUUAAGUGUUGCACAAUUGAAGGAUUAUUUACGAUUUCAUAAUCAUUAUGUGUCAGGGAAUAAGAAUGAACUUGUCUUGAGGACAAAAGGCGUACAAAAGCUAGGAUUAAAUGAUCGACAGCUGCACAGGAAUGCGGAAGUAAAUUAUGAAAAAAGGAAAACAGAAAAACUUUUUACGCCACUCGGUGAAAAGCUGCCACAUCCAGAUGUAUUAAAAACGUUGAGUAGUGACUUAAUGGACUUUCCUACAUUAAUAGAUAGUGACAUCUACAAUUAUUUUGUGCUGAAAAUGAACACACAAAAACAAUUGAGACCAAAAAAUUGUAUUAUGUUUACAGACAUAAACACAGUAUUUUGUACCAUGACAUAAGUGACAAAUGGGAACAUUGUUUUGUUAAAUGCAAAGUAUUACCAUCUCUACCGAGUGCAAAUGUGAAAGAAAACCCAGAUCACAGUGUGUGGCUCUGUCUGUCAAAGGUCACUGGACAGGUUCAUUCAGCGGAAUGUAAUUGCACAGCCGGGAGCGGAGAAGCAUGUAUCCAUAUUGGUGCAUUUAUGUAUGCCCUUUCUGAUCUCACUGCUAAAAAGAAGGACGGCACUCUAAGAUCAACCUCAAAAAAAUGCGUGUGGGACAGAUUUAAUAAUCCCCGGAAAAGAAAGCGAACGCCUAAAAAGUCUAGCGAAUUUACAUUUCGGAAACAUACCUUUGAGUCAAAAUUAGAGCCAGUCGAAAAUAACACCAGAAAAGAACUUCUUGCGAUUUCUGUAAAUGAGAACAGUUUCCGUUCAAAACUCGAAAAUAUGCAACCCAACAGCUGGAUGGCUUUUGAACUUUGUAGAAGAGAAGGAAGAGGUGAAAUUACCAAAGUUUAUAGAAAUUGGAUAUAACUUUAGUGAUAGCGUAGAUCUGAAUAGUGAAACUGUGAAGGAUAAAAUGUCGAAAAUGAUGGAUAUGCUACAAAUGGAUGAACUUGAAUGCCAAAGUAUUGAAAAAUUAACCAGAGGUCAGGGAAAGAACGUACUUUGGGAAGAUGAAAGAAAAUUACGUGUAACUGCAUCCAAUUUUGGUGAAGUAAUUUUACUGAAACAAGAGACUGAAAGAUUUAAAAGAAAUUGAGUGCAAUCUUUAAAGAAUAGUAACAAAUAUGAAUUUAAGAUCACAAUUGUGAAUUUCUCGCAAGCUUACCCUUGCUCCUAGAAUAUGUUUUUAUAAUUUUGAUGUCUCACUUUUCUCUAGAGAUUAACCCUUUACCACUUAGAUAUGUAUUUUCAAGCUUUUGUAGUUCCUUAAAAAGUUAAAUGUAAUAAAGUACCUUUAUUACUAAAUUUAAGUUUUAAAGGCUUCAUUUCCAACCCUUAAAUACUGAUGAGCAGCAAACAGUAUAAAACCUGAACAGACUGCGAGUUACUAGCAUGCUGUUCUGGUUUUAUGCUGUUUUCACUGUGCUUCCAAGUGGAAUAGGGUUAAAUAACAAAAGUUAACGCCAGAUCAGAAAAUAAUUUAAGUAACAACAGUACAGGACAUCAUUGAGGUCCCUCCUUUUUUAUGUUUCAAUAGUCAUUUAGCUCUACAAAGCAUAUAAAUAUUGUACAUAAAAGUGUAUGAAUGUAUAAAUAUUUAUCAACUGUUCAUAUUAUGAAUUUUACAGUAGUACAUGUAGAAUGCUUUUCAACGAUUUGUGUACGGUUCAUUAAUACCAUCACAACGUGAUUGUCAAUUGUUAUUCCGCUAAAUUGAUUUGCUCUUAAAAUGAUAAAUCAUAAAAAGAA